RNAcentral lists this ribosomal RNA (254 nucleotides) under uncultured bacterium. RNAcentral describes it as "partial 16S ribosomal RNA". It matches the Rfam family "Bacterial small subunit ribosomal RNA", at positions 524 to 776 of the family's 1533-position model. The record is from RNAcentral.
UACAGAGGGUGCGAGCGUUGUUCGGAAUUAUUGGGCGUAAAGAGCUCGUAGGCGGUUCGGCAAGUCGGAUGUGAAAUCUCCACGCUUAACGUGGAGGGGCCAUUCGAAACUGCUGUGACUCGAGUCCGGUAGGGGAGUGUGGAAUUCCCGGUGUAGCGGUGGAAUGCGCAGAUAUCAGGAAGAACACCCGUGGCGAAGGCGGCUCUCUGGAACGCAACUGACGCUGAGACGCGAAAGCGUGGGGAGCAAACAGG